UACGGAGGGUGCAAGCGUUAUCCGGAAUCACUGGGUUUAAAGGGUGCGUAGGCGGCACUGUAAGUCAGGGGUGAAAGGCUGCAGCUCAACUGUGGAAUUGCCUUUGAUACUGCGGUGCUAGAAUGAGAUUGAUGUAAGCGGAAUGUGGCAUGUAGCGGUGAAAUGCAUAGAUAUGCCAUAGAACACCAAUUGCGAGGGCAGCUUGCUAGAUCUUGAUUGACGCUGAGACACGAGAGCGUGGGGAGCGAACAGG
RNAcentral lists this ribosomal RNA (253 nucleotides) under uncultured bacterium. RNAcentral's name for it is "partial 16S ribosomal RNA". It matches the Rfam family "Bacterial small subunit ribosomal RNA", at positions 524 to 776 of the family's 1533-position model. The record is from RNAcentral.